Molecule: long non-coding RNA, 870 nt
Filed under: Polistes fuscatus (common paper wasp)
Lineage: Eukaryota; Metazoa; Arthropoda; Insecta; Hymenoptera; Vespidae
Description: uncharacterized LOC122525023, transcript variant X2
Source: RNAcentral
CGGCAAACUCGUUAUGCCGUGCCACCUCUUUCAUUCGACGAAUUUAAUCACAAACUCGGAAGGAUCAUACACGAUGACUUUCAAUGGAUCUGAGUAAUGAUUCCGAGUGCUUUUCCGGGAUUUCCGUUUGUGAUGUAGUUGUUGAUGUCGGCAUUGUAAAGGGCUUCCAUGGGAUACAACUUGCAAUCGAUAUGCUUUGACGGUAGACAAAGGUUGCCCUGCGUGAAAGAAGAAGGGUUGUGUUGUGUCGCGUGCAUACUGAAGCUUAUAUAUGUAUAUACAGAUUGUAAACGUAUACUGCAGGAUGAAAUAAUUCAGAGACACCACCCUUGUUACUUUAACGGCCUCGAGAGAACUAUAUAAAUAAGGUGUAUCGACGAUCGAACCUAUCAUUUAUUUAGAGAUCGGCCUAAAAAUGUAUUUUAUCAAUCGAUUAAUAAACGGAAUCAAAUAAUUCUUUGCGUUUGACAUUAGAUCCUAUAUUCCUCCAAUUGUAUUUCUUUCAAUUAAUCUCAAUGAAGAAAAAAAAAAAAAAAAAAAACAAAAGGAUUGAUGAUAAAUAAUAAAUAAUAAAAGGAGAAAUUAGAAAUAAUAUGAAGAAGAAGACAUUUGCGUCAUGAAAAAGGGGUGUAAGAAGAAAAAAGGAAUAAGAAGGGAAUCCAAAAAAUGUCGAUCUUUCAUUCACUAGCAAUGCGAGAAGUUAUUUCCUCCCCCUUCCCUCACACCUGUCACCAAUGAGAAUUCGCUCUAGUGUUACGACAAGAGCAGCGGCCAGGGCUAGCGGCCAGGCAGGCAGGCAAUCCCCGGUGCAGACGUACUCGGCCGAGUGCAAGUGUACCGAGCGUUCACUUCAGUGCUAGAGUAUCGACC